UGAUUACUUCUCGUAAGCUUUGUCUUCCGGCAAGUAGAACUGCUUCUAUUUAUUUUUACAAUGUAGACAAGACCUUUGAUAUACAGGCAUGCUUUGUCUAUGGAGCUGGAGAAGUAUGCAAAAUAUUUUCUUGAGCUCUGAACACUCCUCACUGAAUUGGACUGUAUAGAUUACAUUACUCUUCUUAUGUUUUGGUGUAUGAUCUUUGGGGUGGACAAUGCUCCAUCUCAGUGUAUUGGUGGGUUGAAAGAACACAGAUGUUAAAGAUGUGAAUGAUCGAGAUGACCCAGAUUUUAUGUUGACAGACCAAUUUGGAUUAACAUUCUUAGUAUAAUCAACUUUCCGAAAUGGCUCAUUGGAAGCGCAUACA
This is a long non-coding RNA of Ahaetulla prasina, 370 nucleotides long. RefSeq lists it as uncharacterized. The transcript is spliced from 3 exons. The record is from RefSeq and is a predicted model, not a curated record. Lineage: Eukaryota; Metazoa; Chordata; Lepidosauria; Squamata; Colubridae.